This 497-nucleotide ribosomal RNA is filed under the name uncultured bacterium. RNAcentral's name for it is "partial 16S ribosomal RNA". It matches the Rfam family "Bacterial small subunit ribosomal RNA", at positions 28 to 507 of the family's 1533-position model. The record is from RNAcentral.
GAUGAACGCUGGCGGCGUGCCUAAUACAUGCAAGUCGAGCGAACAGACGAGGAGCUUGCUCCUCUGACGUUAGCGGCGGACGGGUGAGUAACACGUGGAUAACCUACCUAUAAGACUGGGAUAACUUCGGGAAACCGGAGCUAAUACCGGAUAAUAUAUUGAACCGCAUGGUUCAAUAGUGAAAGACGGUUUUGCUGUCACUUAUAGAUGGAUCCGCGCCGCAUUAGCUAGUUGGUAAGGUAACGGCUUACCAAGGCAACGAUGCGUAGCCGACCUGAGAGAGUGAUCGGCCACACGGGAACUGAGACACGGUCCAGACUCCUACGGGAGGCAGCAGUAGGGAAUCUUCCGCAAAGGGCGAAAGCCUGACGGAGCAACGCCGCGUGAGUGAUGAAGGUCUUCGGAUCGUAAAACUCUGUUAUUAGGGAAGAACAAAUGUGUAAGUAACUAUGCACGUCUUGACGGUACCUAAUCAGAAAGCCACGGCUAACUACGUG